RNAcentral lists this long non-coding RNA (3129 nucleotides) under Triticum aestivum (bread wheat). Its description in RNAcentral is "long non-coding RNA (TAES_LNC010733)". The record is from RNAcentral. Lineage: Eukaryota; Viridiplantae; Streptophyta; Magnoliopsida; Poales; Poaceae.
UAAGUAUUUAAUUCACAUCAUAUUACAUAAAAAAGUUAAGAUCCAAAUCGCAUCAUAAAAUAAAUGGAAGACAAAUCAUACUAUAUAUUCAAUCAUCUCUGCCAAAUUGCCCUCUAAACACGCAUGAUAGUAAAAAAUAACACCAACUCACGAGUUUGACACGACAAUAGGCAAGUUGAAAAGCAAUAUUUAGGUAACUAAAAACCACAUGUGUUGUCAUGAUGAUUGCAAUGUAUGAUUCAAUAAUUAUUUCCAUCACAAAAGGAUGGUCUUCAUGCACCUUCUGGUUUGGACUAGGACUGCUGAGUUGCUUACUGACUUGCUUGAGCCCUUACGAGAAAACCAAUGAGGUUAUCCGUCUCCUAUUGAUUCUUUUGUUGUGCUUCAUUCUUCUCUUGCUGGCUCUUCUUCACAUCUUCCAAUUCUUCUUGUUGCUUCCUCUGUGUCUCUUCACAUGCUCUUGCUUGGUGGCAUUAGUUUAAUAACCGAAGCUGGAAAAGCUGGGACACAGUCAGGGAGAAAUAGACAGCAAGCCAUGAAAAGCAAGACCAGAAUGUUCAGAACAAAAAAGCAAAAAAUAUGAUUACUGUAGCUGCCGGCAUAGUUGGGAAAACCAGAAACUUUACUAUACUCUUCCAAAAUUAAGGCUCAAUGGAUGGCGCUGUAUGUUUGUAAAGUAGAAGCAACUUGAUUUACCCAGUUUAGUAUGUCAUAAUAUAGUCAAAAACUGAAGUUUACAAUGUAUCUGCUUUUAUCAAGUUCUAUGCGUACUGAAAAUGCUUGUGGGCUUCAGUCGCUUAACAUCAUGGGUAGCUAAUAAAUUAGGAGAGGCAUGGCAAAUAUUAAGUUUAGUUCUCUUUUAUGUAGUAGUGGAGAGAAAAGCACACUGGUGUAGGGUUAUACAUCUCUGUAACGAGUCAAAAUCAAGUGCAGUCUUAGUCUUUAUUCAGUUUUAAAAAGCACUAGUGAACAUGGUUUUCGAGUCGUGAAAAAGCCGAGCCUGCAGUUGCGGCUAGUCGCGACUCGCGACUCGAGUCGACCUAAGUUGAGUCGACAUUUUUUGACUCAUCGACUACUCCACGACUAGGCGAGCGACUCAAAAACCAUGCUAGUGAAGGACUAUUUAUGGGGCAGCAGAACCAUAAGUUUCAGGUUUUAGCAUAGAUAAAGUAGUUGCAUCCAAAAGCUAGUUUAUUCGGACAUGUAGAUACAGGGAUGCAAGGAUGUGCUGCUUCCUGCUUCUACUUAGUUCUCCUUUUAUAUGCUGCAUACUUUAGUUAAUGUGUUUAUGUUCAUCUGAUUAUGACACCAUUCACUAUUCAGCAACCAAGAGGAUCUAGUUUUUGUCAUUACAGCAGGGUACAACAAUCAGAUGGUUAACAUAUAAUUUUCUUUUAUAUGCGAGAGUAGCCAUACAAGCACAUGGCUGCAAAAGAAAUAUCUUAGCUAAGGCCAUGCAUCUGAUAGCUAACUGAACUUUUGCAGAACUGCUAACUGUACCGCUGUAGCAUAUAUUCAGGUUUAGGCCUUUUUUACAAUAGCAGGCUAUAACAAAUGCAAAACCAUGUUCACUAGUGCAGCUUUACACACACCUAUCAAUAGGAUAUCAACUAAACUUAAUUGGCAGGAGGUUCAGGCUUUUUACCAUAGCAAGUUGUGGCAAAUCCGAAUUACAUAAAAGGGUAGGAUGAGGAGUAGUAUGCAUGAACCCGAACCAUUGAACAUCAAGUGGUGGAGAGAUGAGGAGGGUAGGAUGAGUAUAUCACCAAGAGAUGUCACACAUCGCAGUGGAGAAGAGAGCCGGGUGGUCGAGGCGGGUUAAUGCGGUGGAUCCAAGCUCGGCAGUGCGAUGGCUUCCUUCAAUCUGAAAAUUGAAGUUUCAAGUCCAAAUCUGAAGUACAACUUAAUAAAACUACCAAAGAUGUCUUUUGGUAGAUACCUGAAUCUUACAAAAACACAAUUUAGGACUUGUAUGAAACCAAUGUGUGGAGCCUGGCAGUUGCACUAGACAUCCAAAUAAAAUAUACCAUUGUACUAAAUAUAAGCCAUUUCGUGUUCCAUUAUACUGAAUCCUGGAAUUGAUCUUCUCUGUACCUAUGCAAUACUUCUAGAAAAUUUGAGAUGGCCAAGACAUUGAUGUAUGAUGCUUUUGAGGAUCUGUUGCAAAACCAGAAUGCACUAUGCUAUAUAUAUACGCAUAUUUUUCACUGUUGCAAAGCCAAACAGGGCCUCCAGAACCGGAGGGCCCCCAAUUCUUUUUUAAUCAAAGCUUUAAAUGAAGCAUUACAUACUAGAAGUAAAGAACUAAUGAAAAUAAUUUUUGCCAACCCAACCCAACCCCUGUAUAUCUCUCUCUAAUCACAAUGCAUCAAUUCCUCUAGGCGCUUUAUAUCUGCCCCUCUCUCUCAAUUACUAUUUACUGGUCUUUUCUGAACCUGUGUAGUCAACCGGUGUAAUCUUUUGUCGAAAAACUACAUUGACUGCAAAAAAAAGAUUUUUCUUUUUCAUAGAUAGGGCCUAAUUUUGAUUUGCAAAUGGACUCCGAUUUCUCUUGUGCGACCCUCAAUAACAUCCAUGAAAAUAUGGUGCAUCCGCAAUUAAGUUAAAUAACAUAUCAGAAUGUACAAUAUGAACUUAAUAUAAUGAACCCUAAUCAUUGCAGAUUACAAACUUUGUAAAAUCCUAAUUAGCGAGAUGGGCAGGAUGAGGAGUGUUAUGCAUGAACCCUAUUCUUUGAACACUAGGGGCUGGCAAGAUGAGGAGGGCAGAAUGAGGAAAUUAACAAGAGAGACGUCGCUGGUCGCUUCAAUCGGGGGGACAAGAGGGCCGGGUUCUCACGGGGAUGGUCGGUGCGGUGGAUCCCAGCUCGGCCGGUGGGGCGGCCUGCUCCAAUCUCCCAUCGGCGGCAGCUGCAAUCCAGGGAGAAGAGGGGGUGCUCGCGGGGCAAGUUGUUGCGCUGGAUCCGAGCGCCGCCUGGGCGCAGGCGACAUCCCCCAAAGUGUCGUCGCCGGUCGUUGCAAUCUGGGGAAGAAGAGAGCCAGAUGAAUCUAUCUACGAAGAAAAUGCGGGGUGGGUUGUGGCUUUAGCGGUGUCCCUCCGCGGGUGAAUUGGAAGGGAAGGGAAUUUGGC